Molecule: non-coding RNA, 541 nt
Organism: Paramuricea clavata
Lineage: Eukaryota; Metazoa; Cnidaria; Anthozoa; Malacalcyonacea; Plexauridae
Source: the annotation of a GenBank genome assembly
AGGCAAACGAACUUUGUAACCCGAUUCAAAAAUCGUCGCGUCAUUCUCAAGUGUUUAUAUCUAAAGGAUAGAGUAUAUGAUCUAAACAAUAUCACGUAUACUGAAACCACGCAGCAUAGAAGAGUGUUUACUAGAAGCUGUGUCACGUCGGUCGUUGUUGAUUCGGGUUAGCAACACUCGCGGGAGUAUAUAUCCGCGUCGUCAGAUGAAGGAUUUAUGUUAUUAACGGAUGGUAAACAUGCUUUUUCCUCAGGGGUUGUGAAAAGAAAUAAACAAAAAACAUGCACUUGGCAAUUGAACAAAAGAAUAGAGCGGUGUUAAUAGAUUUUAUAUAUACGUGUAUAAAAGUUCAGUCUGUUGUGGUCGCGGUUUGCGGUCAGCAGAUCGUUGAGAAAGGAAAUCAAACUAUUCUUUCUCAAUUCUACAAGACGUCUACAUAUGAUGAAAAGAUUUAACACUAUCUUCAGUAUCUUGUGAUCAGACUAACGCCGCCAGUUGACCACUUGACUAACAGGAGGAAACCUAAAUUAAACUAACUUUU